GCCACAUAAGCAGGGCCAUAUUACCCAAAAAAAAAACUUAUAAAACUUACAUCUCCAAACGGAUAUAAAGCCCGAUUGAUUAAUAAAUUUCAAUCAUUUUCCUCCAUUUCUUAGCAACAAUGAAAAAUGAAGUAAACCCUAGAUAGAAGAUAUCCAAGAAUAGUAGAAUGCUUGCUGUUUACAUUCUAGUGUAUGGAAACACAACUGAACAUUGAAAGACCAUAAAAGAAAUAUAGAAGCUAAGAAAGCAAAGAAAUAGGAAUCUGCUAGCAAUUGAUCACCAAAACAACGUUGGCAGGAGAGGAAAUUAGACUUUAAGGACAGAAACGUUAAUAAGGGGUAUGUUCAUGGAUUUAAGGUUGAAUUUAGCACUAGAAUUAGAGGGAGAGGUAAAGGGAAAGAAAGGUGGCUUCGGUUUUC
Molecule: unclassified non-coding RNA, 420 nt
Filed under: Hevea brasiliensis (rubber tree)
Lineage: Eukaryota; Viridiplantae; Streptophyta; Magnoliopsida; Malpighiales; Euphorbiaceae
Source: RNAcentral